This 434-nucleotide ribosomal RNA is filed under the name uncultured Lachnospiraceae bacterium. Its description in RNAcentral is "partial 16S ribosomal RNA". It matches the Rfam family "Bacterial small subunit ribosomal RNA", at positions 341 to 792 of the family's 1533-position model. The record is from RNAcentral. Lineage: Bacteria; Bacillati; Bacillota; Clostridia; Lachnospirales; Lachnospiraceae.
ACGGAAGGCAGCAGUGGGGAAUAUUGGACAAUGGGGGAAACCCUGAUCCAGCGACGCCGCGUGAGUGAAGAAGUAUUUCGGUAUGUAAAGCUCUAUCAGCAAGGAAGAAAAUGACGGUACUUGACUAAGAAGCCCCGGCUAACUACGUGCCAGCAGCCGCGGUAACACGUAGGGGGCAAGCGUUAUCCGGAUUUACUGGGUGUAAAGGGAGCGUAGACGGCAUAGCAAGUCUGAAGUGAAAUGCAUGGGCUCAACCCAUGAACUGCUUUGGAAACUGUUAAGCUAGAGUGCAGGAGAGGUAAGUGGAAUUCCUAGUGUAGCGGUGAAAUGCGUAGAUAUUAGGAGGAACACCAGUGGCGAAGGCGGCUUACUGGACUGUAACUGACGUUGAGGCUCGAAAGCGUGGGGAGCAAACAGGAUUAGAUACCCUGGUA